AUUGAACGCUGGCGGCGUGCUUAACACAUGCAAGUCGAUCGGUAACAGGUGUAGCAAUACAUGCUGACGAGAGGCGGACGGGUGAGUAAUGCUUGGGAAUCUGCCUAUUAGUGGGGGACAACCCGGGGAAACUCGGGCUAAUACCGCAUACGCUCUACGGAGGAAAGCCGGGGACCGCAAGGCCUGGCGCUAAUAGAUGAGCCCAAGUCGGAUUAGCUAGUUGGUAGGGUAACGGCCUACCAAGGCGACAAUCCGUAGCUGGUCUGAGAGGACGACCAGCCACACCGGAACUGAGACACGGCCCAGACUCCUACGGGAGGCAGCAGUGGGGAAUAUUGGACAAUGGGCGCAAGCCUGAUCCAGCGAUGCCGCGUGUGUGAAGAAGGCCUGCGGGUUGUAAAGCACUUUCAGUAGGGAAGAAAAGACCGA
This 429-nucleotide ribosomal RNA is filed under the name uncultured bacterium. RNAcentral's name for it is "bacterial SSU rRNA". It matches the Rfam family "Bacterial small subunit ribosomal RNA", at positions 29 to 457 of the family's 1533-position model. The record is from RNAcentral.